AACGAACGCUGGCGGCAGGCUUAACACAUGCAAGUCGAACGCCCCGCAAGGGGAGUGGCAGACGGGUGAGUAACGCGUGGGAAUCUACCCAGUUCUACGGAACAACUGAGGGAAACUUCAGCUAAUACCGUAUACGCCCUACGGGGGAAAGAUUUAUCGGAAUUGGAUGAGCCCGCGUUGGAUUAGCUAGUUGGUGAGGUAACGGCUCACCAAGGCGACGAUCCAUAGCUGGUCUGAGAGGAUGAUCAGCCACACUGGGACUGAGACACGGCCCAGACUCCUACGGGAGGCAGCAGUGGGGAAUAUUGGACAAUGGGCGCAAGCCUGAUCCAGCCAUGCCGCGUGAGUGAUGAAGGCCUUAGGGUUGUAAAGCUCUUUCAGUGGGGACGAUAAUGACGGUACCCACAGAAGAAGCCCCGGCUAACUUCGUG
This 431-nucleotide ribosomal RNA is filed under the name uncultured bacterium. RNAcentral's name for it is "bacterial SSU rRNA". It matches the Rfam family "Bacterial small subunit ribosomal RNA", at positions 29 to 507 of the family's 1533-position model. The record is from RNAcentral.